Molecule: long non-coding RNA, 705 nt
Organism: Haliotis rubra (blacklip abalone)
Lineage: Eukaryota; Metazoa; Mollusca; Gastropoda; Lepetellida; Haliotidae
Exons: 3
Source: RefSeq, a predicted model, not a curated record
UUUCAGUCAAUAUCAACCAUCAAACAUACAAGGUUUCAGUCAUUAUCAACCAUCAAACAUACAAGGUUUCAGUCAUUAUCAACCAUCAAACAUACAAGGUUUCAGUCAUUAUCAAUUAUUAAACAUACAAGGUUUCAGUCAAUAUCAACCAUCAAACAUUCAAGGUUUCAGUCAUUAUCAACCAUUAAACAUACAAGGUUUCAGUCAAUAUCAACCAUCAAACAUACAAGGUUUCAGUCAUUAUCAAUCAUCAAACAUACAAGGUUUCAGUCAUUAUCAACCAUCAAACAUACAAGGUUUCAGUCAAUAUCAACCAUCAAACAUACAAGGUUUCAGUCAUUAUCAGCCAUCAAACAUACAUGGUUUCAGUCAAUAUCAACCAUCAAACAUACAAGUAAAGAUGCAGUUUUCAAAGCAGAGCUAUUUAUCCACUAGGAGAGGACCAAACGGAACUUGUAACAAAACACCUGUCAUGUUAUUGAGACUUCCCAUUGGCCAAUCAUGAAAGUCCCAGUUCUGUUCUGCUGCAGGACUAAUUCUGGUACACCUUGGGCCAGGACUUUCUAGACUCUGAGGAGGGGUAAGUUAAAAAGUAAACUGAUUUCCCUAAUAAUUGUCUACAUAGUUAACUGCUGUAGAUGCAUUCAGCUAUUUCUGCCAAACAUAUAGAUUUUGAAUCUUUGUAAUAUGACGCUGCUCAUAAAG